Molecule: ribosomal RNA, 207 nt
Filed under: uncultured Sphingobacteriales bacterium
Lineage: Bacteria; Pseudomonadati; Bacteroidota; Sphingobacteriia; Sphingobacteriales
Description: partial 16S ribosomal RNA
Rfam family: Bacterial small subunit ribosomal RNA
Source: RNAcentral
UGACGUCAAAUCAGCACGGCCCUUAUGUCCAGGGCUACACACGUGUUACAAUGGCCGAGUACAAAGGGCGAGCUACCGGGGUGACCGGAUGCUAAUCUCUAAAGCUGGUCUCAGUUCGGAUCGAAGUCUGCAACCCGACUUCGUGAAGCUGGAAUUCGCUAGUAAUCGCGCAUCAGCCAUGGCGCGGUGAAUACGUUCCCGGGCCCU